AGUGGGAUAACUGGGUCAAAUGGUGGUUCCAUUUCAAGUUUUCUGAAGAAUCUCCAUACUGCUUUCCAAGAGUGGUUGCACCAAUUUGCAGUCCCACCAGCAAU
RNAcentral lists this microRNA precursor (104 nucleotides) under Marmota monax (woodchuck). Lineage: Eukaryota; Metazoa; Chordata; Mammalia; Rodentia; Sciuridae. The record is from RNAcentral.